AGAGUUUGAUCCUGGCUCAGGAUGAACGCUAGCUACAGGCUUAACACAUGCAAGUCGAGGGGCAUCGAGAAGUUAGCUUGCUAACUUUGUCGGCGACCGGCGCACGGGUGAGUAACGCGUAUCCAACCUUCCCCUUAGUAGGGGAUAGCCCGGCGAAAGUCGGAUUAAUACCCUAUGUUAUCCGAAGAGGACAUCUGAAUUGGAUCAAAGGUUAACCGCUAAGGGAUGGGGAUGCGUCUGAUUAGGUAGUAGGCGGGGUAACGGCCCACCUAGCCGACGAUCAGUAGGGGUUCUGAGAGGAAGGUCCCCCACAUUGGAACUGAGCCAUGAUCAAACUC
RNAcentral lists this ribosomal RNA (338 nucleotides) under uncultured Prevotella sp. RNAcentral's name for it is "bacterial SSU rRNA". It matches the Rfam family "Bacterial small subunit ribosomal RNA", at positions 8 to 338 of the family's 1533-position model. Lineage: Bacteria; Pseudomonadati; Bacteroidota; Bacteroidia; Bacteroidales; Prevotellaceae. The record is from RNAcentral.